GAUGAACGCUGGCGGCGUGCCUAAUACAUGCAAGUCGAACGAACCUUCGUUAUCACCGAUUGUUUGCACUCACCGAUGGAGGGGUGAGUAGCGAACGGAUAAGUAACAUAUAAGAAACGUGCCACUAAGGGGAGGCUGAGACUAUACCGGAGGAUCUAUUACACCAUAAGGAUAAUAACCGCAAGACAGCUUUGUAAACAAUGACAGAUCUAUCCGCGCUGCAUUAGCUAGUUGGUAAGGUAACGGCUUACCAAGGAAAGGAUGCCUAGCCGACCUGAGAGGUUGAUCGGCCACACUGGAACUGAGACACGGUCCAAACUCCUACGGGAGGCAGCAGUAGGGAAUCUUCCGCAAUGGGCGAAAGCCUGAUGGAGCAACGCCGCGUGAGUGAAGAAGGUCUUCGGAUCGUAAAACUCUGUUGUUAGAGAAGAAAGUAUGUGUAAGUAACUGUGCACGUUUUGACGGUACCUAAUCAGAAAGCCACGGCUAACUACGUG
Molecule: ribosomal RNA, 497 nt
Filed under: uncultured bacterium
Lineage: Bacteria
Description: partial 16S ribosomal RNA
Rfam family: Bacterial small subunit ribosomal RNA
Source: RNAcentral